RNAcentral lists this ribosomal RNA (301 nucleotides) under uncultured bacterium. Its description in RNAcentral is "partial 16S ribosomal RNA". It matches the Rfam family "Bacterial small subunit ribosomal RNA", at positions 509 to 807 of the family's 1533-position model. The record is from RNAcentral.
CAGUAGCCGCGGGAAUACGUAGGGUGCAAGCGUUAAUCGGAAUUACUGGGCGUAAAGCGUGCGCAGGCGGUUUGUUAAGACAGAUGUGAAAUCCCCGGGCUCAACCUGGGAACUGCAUUUGUGACUGGCAAGCUAGAGUCUGGCAGAGGGGGGUGGAAUUCCGCGUGUAGCAGUGAAAUGCGUAGAUAUGCGGAGGAACACCGAUGGCGAAGGCAGCCCCCUGGGCCAACACUGACGCUCAUGCACGAAAGCGUGGGGAGCAAACAGGAUUAGAUACCCCUGUAGUCCCUGUCUCUUAUAC